CCUUCAUGAAGCUGGAAUUGCUAGUAAUGGCAGGUCAGCAUACUGCCGUGAAUACGUUCCCGGGCCUUGUACACACCGCCCGUCACACCAUGGGAGCUGGUAACACCCGAAGUCAGUAGUCUAACCGCAAGGAGGACGCUGCCGAAGGUGGGAUUAGCGACUGGGGUGAAGUCGUAACAAGGUACC
Molecule: ribosomal RNA, 186 nt
Filed under: uncultured bacterium
Lineage: Bacteria
Description: partial 16S ribosomal RNA
Rfam family: Bacterial small subunit ribosomal RNA
Source: RNAcentral